RNAcentral lists this ribosomal RNA (254 nucleotides) under uncultured bacterium. RNAcentral's name for it is "partial 16S ribosomal RNA". It matches the Rfam family "Bacterial small subunit ribosomal RNA", at positions 524 to 776 of the family's 1533-position model. The record is from RNAcentral.
UACGGGGGGAGCAAGCGUUGUUCGGAUUUACUGGGCGUAAAGGGCGCGUAGGCGGUCAGCACAAGUCAGUUGUGAAAUCUCCGAGCUUAACUCGGAACGGUCAACUGAUACUGUGCGACUAGAGUGCAGAAGGGGCAACUGGAAUUCUUGGUGUAGCGGUGAAAUGCGUAGAUAUCAAGAGGAACACCUGCGGCGAAGGCGGGUUGCUGGGCUGACACUGACGCUGAGGCGCGAAAGCCAGGGGAGCGAACGGG